Molecule: long non-coding RNA, 3443 nt
Filed under: Marmota monax (woodchuck)
Lineage: Eukaryota; Metazoa; Chordata; Mammalia; Rodentia; Sciuridae
Source: RNAcentral
GGGAAAUGGACCUUCCAGACGAUGGUGCUCUGUGAGGUAGGCUUUCUGUGUGCUCUGGCUAGCUGUAUGUUGUGUUGUGUUGUUCAGUGGAGUCUCCCAGAUGCCUCUGUCAUGUUUAUCUUUAUGUAUGUCCUUCUGGGUGUGUGCAUGUAUGUUUCAGCAUGUUCGUGUUCAUGUUGAUUAACUUAUUAUGCACCAGUCUUUGUGGGCUAUGUGUUUGUGUGUAAUAAGUGGGUAUCCAGUUAAUGUCUGCAUGUGCACAUUUGUGUGAGCAGCUGAUAUGGGGUGUGUUUCUAGACAGGUGUGCCUGAAUGCUCACCAGUCUCUGCCUCUGUGUACAUAGCUUAAGUACCCAUGUUUUGGGAGAUCAUGUUUGGGGGAUGUCUGCAGUGUGUAUUUUGUGUCCAAUCUGGAGCAUGACUGUGCUUCUACAUUGGUCUGUAUGAAAGCACAAGUGGGUGACUAUGUAUAAGUGUAUGGAUGUCUGUGUGUGUGCACAUGUGUGUGCAUCUGUGUGUGUUCUUGUGUAUAUAUGGAACCACGUGGAACAUGUUGUGCACGGGUGAACAUCUGAUAUCUGCCUGUGCUUGUCUGUGUUUGGAUUGAAAUGUAAUCCUGGCCUGGCUUCAUUUCUCGUUUUGAAAAAACAAAUAAUUCCUGUGUUUUUAAAGUAUUUACCUCCCUCAGUUUUCACGAGCAGGUUGAAAAGCCUCCCUGGGACAGGUGUGUCCCAGAGCCUUCCCAGGGCUGAUUACUUCCCACUGGAUACAUUUAAAUAUCCUCCCAGAAAAUUCUCAUUCCCACGUAUCACCACCCACCUCCCAAGCCAUUUAACAGAAUCAUUUACCCAGUGUUCCCUGAUUCAUGUCAGCUCUGAGCUGAGUGGUACCAAGUGACCAGAAAGCCCUGGGCCCUGCCUCACUCAGGUCUCACUCCUAAGGGGAAGGCAGACCCACAGCUCAGAAUGGACUGUGCUGGGGUGGGAAGACACAGGCAGAGGGGCCCAGACAGGAUGGGGAGAGCACAGGUGUCUGUAGGAACCCAGAAACAGCACCUGACUCGCCCUCAUGGGCUUAGGAUAGGCUGUUAGUAGGGAUUUUGUGUAGAAGGAUAGGGAGGGUUGGGAGGUUGUAUUCCACGCAGAAGAACCAGUGUGUGUGAGGGCCUGGGUGUGUGGCUUGGUGGAAUUGGGCAUUAGAGAUCUUGGCUCGUGUGUGUGGAGAGAGCUAGGGCCACCGGCAGGAGCCAGAAUGCAUAGAGUCUAAUUCAACUCAGUGAGAAGUGUAGACUUUGUCUUGUGGCGGUGGGGAGCCUCGGAAAGAUUUCAAUCUGGGGGACAAAAUGGUAAGAUUUGAGUUUCAAAAAGAGUCUUCACAUUUUUGGAAAACACUUAAUGCUGGCAGCUGAGAAAUGAGUUAGUGUCUGCUACAGCAUCCAAGUGAGAGUGGAUGGAGGAGCCAUGCGUGUGGGCAUGAGGGGGUGGGCUGGAGAAGACCUGGGAGAACUGAGACUUGGUUGCAGUUGGCUGUGCCGGGCUAAGGGUUAGGGGGGCACUCCAGCAGGGGAAGAUGGUCAUGUCAUUAACUAAUUGGUGUUCUAGAGCCUUCCCAAGGCUGAUUACUUCCCACUGGAUAAAUUUAAAUAUCACACAGAUCAGGAGAAGAUCUGAAUCAGGUGGUAAUGGCUUUGGCUUUGGGUGUGCGGGUGAACAAGACCCAAUCUCUGCUUAGGGAUUUCUUAGAGUAAUAGGAAAGUGCUGCAGCCGGACUACGGCAGAUGGUGGCCCAUACCGGGAGCCCUGGGACACUCAGGUGUAAGUGACGAAAGAAAAAGCUGCCCAUCCAUAGAUAGGACGGGAGCAAAUCUGCUCGUCCCUAGGCAGAUAGGGCGAGAGGAAAAAUGGCCAUUUUGAGAAAAUGGAGAAUAUUGAUACAGUAUGUUUGUGUCUUGUUUUGUCUUGAAAUGUUGUAUUGUCUUUGUGAUAAAAAUAUGGAAGGGGUGAGAAGUAAAUUACUAAGGGAAGGAGGCACCCCAGUGGAACCAAGAAUAGUUAGGGCAUGUGUUGAUAGAAGCCCAAGAACUCUAGUCAGAAAGAAGAAAAAAAGUUCAGAGGAGGAAGGAUUAUCAAGAAAAAAAUUACAAAAGGCUACUACUAAAUACUUUUCUUUAUCUGAGGGUGCGUGAAGCCGCAUGGAGGCUGCGGCAUAUAGGAGCCAAUCAUGGCGCAGCAAGGAAUUUCCAAGCUGCAGCAGCCGGCUCUUCCCCGCUCCCCACCCGGGAAGAAGAACGCCACUGCGAGAGCCCAAAUCCAAACCUGUGCCCGGAAGCAAUUUGAGACCAAGACUCUCCCCAGGGCCAUCUGGGGCUGCCCAGGAGCUACAGCCAACAAAAGACGCUACCAGUGUCCCUGAUGUUUGGUCAUUUCCAAGGCCAGUAACUACAAUGGUUCUCCCACACCUGGAAGCUAAUGAGUAAUGAGCACUAUUAAGGCUUAUUUCAAAUGUGAAAAACCUUGAGAUGAUGUACUAAAUUGUUCAGAAGGUUGUUUUCUUAGUGCCUGCUGGAAUACUACAGGAUUUUCUUUAGCCAUCCCGAGUUCCUGCCUUCGUCCCAGUGCCAGUGAAGAGGAAUGUGGAAGAAUUUCCAUUGUUGCUGAGAACCGGAGGAGACUUCAGCUGAGAACCGACGAGACUUCGGAUCAAGCUAGAUGCCUGUAGAACUUACCUGGACUGUGAUUUAAGCUAGCUGUCUGCAGAACUUACCUGGACUGUGAUUCAAGCUAGCUUCCUGCAGAGCUUACCUGGACUGUGAUUUACCUGGACCGUGAGUUAAUCUAUUGAGACACUGCUUUACCUGGACUGAGACAACAAACUGUAAUCCACAACAAAUUUUAACUCGAUAUCUUUGCUAAUGGUGUCAUUGCUGGUAUAAUUUUUCCAAGGGCUUCUUGCAUGGAGCCAUCAAUUGGCUUGGUAUUGUGACAUUCUGUAUCCUCCCCUUCUGCUUGUAGCAGAUUAUUUAUGGUGUUUCUGUAAAAACCACUAUGGUCGUUAUUUAAAUCAAACAAAAGGGGGAAAUGUUAGAGUCUGUAAACAAGUUAGGAUGGCACCUGGCAUUUUGCCAGAGAAAUGUUAGAGUCUGUAAACAAGUCUGGAUGGCGCCUGGCAAAAUGCCAGAGGGAGUGGUUUGUGAAAUAAUGCCAGUGAGCCAUUAAGUGUGGAGAUUCCUGAUUGGUUGACUGCUGUAUCUAGUUUAUGCUAAUUAGAUAAGCUGUGUGGAAUGUAUAAAUACUGCUCCUGUCCUGCAAUAAACGGCUCCUACUCCUGCUGUAUCAAUCUACACAAGUUGUUCGUCACCCCCGGCUAGUUUGCUGCAGCUGGACUGUGGCAGGAAAGCAGACCCUUAAAAAUGGAAGUCCUCAUGAUUCUGUCAUUAUUCAUUAC